CAAACUCUAGCAUAGUGGAUUAGCCUCUCCUCUAGUAGGUAUAGCCUAGGUGACAUGACCCUGUUCUGAAUCCAGCCCAAACUCUAGCAUAGUGGAUUAGCCUCUCCUCUAGUAGGUAUAGCCUAGGUGACAUGACCCUGUUCUGAAUCCAGCCCAAACUCUAGCAUAGUGGAUUAGCCUCUCCUCUAGUAGGUAUAGCCUAGGUGACAUGACCCUGUUCUGAAUCCAGCCCAAACUCUAGCAUAGUGGAUUAGCCUCUCCUCUAGUAGGUAUAGCCUAGGUGACAUGACCCUGUUCUGAAUCCAGCCCAAACUCUAGCAUAGUGGAUUAGCCUCUCCUCUAGUAGGUAUAGCCUAGGUGACAUGACCCUGUUCUGAAUCCAGCCCAAACUCUAGCAUAGUGGAUUAGCCUCUCCUCUAGUAGGUAUAGCCUAGGUGACAUGACCCUGUUCUGAAUCCAGCCCAAACUCUAGCAUAGUGGAUUAGCCUCUCCUCUAGUAGGUAUAGCCUAGGUGACAUGACCCUGUUCUGAAUCCAGCCCAAACUCUAGCAUAGUGGAUUAGCC
Oncorhynchus keta (chum salmon) is the source of this 564-nucleotide long non-coding RNA. RefSeq lists it as uncharacterized. The transcript is spliced from 4 exons. NCBI's taxonomy places the organism in Eukaryota, Metazoa, Chordata, Actinopteri, Salmoniformes, Salmonidae. The record is from RefSeq and is a predicted model, not a curated record.